Molecule: ribosomal RNA, 649 nt
Filed under: uncultured bacterium
Lineage: Bacteria
Description: bacterial SSU rRNA
Rfam family: Bacterial small subunit ribosomal RNA
Source: RNAcentral
CAGGCCUAACACAUGCAAGUCGAGCGGUAACAGAGAGUAGCUUGCUACUCUGCUGACGAGCGGCGGACGGGUGAGUAAUGCUUGGGAAUGUACCUUAUGGUGGGGGACAACAGUUGGAAACGACUGCUAAUACCGCAUAAUGUCUUCGGACCAAAGCGGGGGACCUUCGGGCCUCGCGCCAUAAGAUCAGCCCAAGUGGGAUUAGCUAGUUGGUGAGGUAAUGGCUCACCAAGGCGACGAUCCCUAGCUGGUUUGAGAGGAUGAUCAGCCACACUGGGACUGAGACACGGCCCAGACUCCUACGGGAGGCAGCAGUGGGGAAUAUUGCACAAUGGGCGCAAGCCUGAUGCAGCCAUGCCGCGUGUGUGAAGAAGGCCUUCGGGUUGUAAAGCACUUUCAGUAAGGAGGAGAGGUUGGAUGUUAAUAGCAUUCAGCUGUGACGUUACUUACAGAAGAAGCACCGGCUAACUCCGUGCCAGCAGCCGCGGUAAUACGGAGGGUGCGAGCGUUAAUCGGAAUUACUGGGCGUAAAGCGUACGCAGGCGGUUUGUUAAGCGAGAUGUGAAAGCCCCGGGCUCAACCUGGGAACUGCAUUUCGAACUGGCAAACUAGAGUAUGAUAGAGGGUGGUAGAAUUUCAGGUGUAGCGG